This 461-nucleotide ribosomal RNA is filed under the name uncultured bacterium. RNAcentral describes it as "bacterial SSU rRNA". It matches the Rfam family "Bacterial small subunit ribosomal RNA", at positions 29 to 529 of the family's 1533-position model. The record is from RNAcentral.
AACGAACGCUGGCGGCAUGCCUAACACAUGCAAGUCGAACGAGACCUUCGGGUCUAGUGGCGCACGGGUGCGUAACGCGUGGGAAUCUGCCCUGGGGUACGGAAUAACAGUGAGAAAUUACUGCUAAUACCGUAUGAUGACGUAAGUCCAAAGAUUUAUCGCCCUGGGAUGAGCCCGCGUAGGAUUAGCUUGUUGGUGAGGUAAAAGCUCACCAAGGCGACGAUCCUUAGCUGGUCUGAGAGGAUGAUCAGCCACACUGGGACUGAGACACGGCCCAGACUCCUACGGGAGGCAGCAGUGGGGAAUAUUGGACAAUGGGCGAAAGCCUGAUCCAGCAAUGCCGCGUGAGUGAUGAAGGCCUUCGGGUUGUAAACCUCUGUCAUGGGGGAAGAAGUAAGUGACGGUACCCCAAGAGGAAGCCCCUGCUAACUACGUCCAGCAGCCGCGUAAACAUACUCGUA